UACGUAGGGUGCAAGCGUUAAUCGGAAUUACUGGGCGUAAAGCGUGCGCAGGCGGUUUUGUAAGUUUGUCGUGAAAGCCCCGGGCUCAACCUGGGGAAUUGCGAUGAAGACUGCAAGGCUUGAAUCUGGCAGAGGGGGGUAGAAUUCCACGUGUAGCAGUGAAAUGCGUAGAGAUGUGGAGGAACACCGAUGGCGAAGGCAGCCCCCUGGGUCAAGAUUGACGCUCAUGCACGAAAGCGUGGGGAGCAAACAGG
This 254-nucleotide ribosomal RNA is filed under the name uncultured bacterium. RNAcentral describes it as "partial 16S ribosomal RNA". It matches the Rfam family "Bacterial small subunit ribosomal RNA", at positions 524 to 776 of the family's 1533-position model. The record is from RNAcentral.